This 3070-nucleotide long non-coding RNA is filed under the name Homo sapiens (human). Its description in RNAcentral is "HSALNT0044639". The record is from RNAcentral. Lineage: Eukaryota; Metazoa; Chordata; Mammalia; Primates; Hominidae.
UGAAAUAUAGGUUACAAAUUACCAAGAUUUUUUUUUUAAUCUGUUAAAAACCUUUCUAGAGAUCACAGAAUGGAUAGUUGAACUAGUUUGUGUAAUCAACAGUAUAGUAAGCCUAUGCCCCCUUAAAACCUAAAGGAAAGGUAUACAUUAAGAAGAAAACUUUAAAAAUACAGAUGACUUGUUGUAUGUCUCAAACAGUAGUGGAAAGGUAAAUGUUGUUUGCCCUCAAGAUUUCACACCUGUCUUGUGGGUAGGUGCUGUCAUUUACUAGAUGUGUCAUCUGGAAGAUUAACCGUAGUCAUUUCUUUUUCUUUGUUUCUUUCUUUUUUUUCUUUUUUUUUUUUUUUUUGAGGCAGGGUCUCACUCUGUCACCCAGGCUAGAAUGCAGUGGUGCAAUCAUGGCUCACUGCAGCCUCAACCUCCCAGGGUCAAGAGAUCCUCCCACUUCAGCCUCCUGAGUAGCUGGGACUACAGGCUCCCACCACCUAGCCCAGCUUAUUUUUUUUAGUAGAGCUGAGGUCUUCCCAUGUUACCCAGGCUGGUCUCUAACUCCUGAGCUCAAGUGAUCCUCCUGCCUUGGCUGUGCGAAGUGCUGGAAUUACAGAUGUGAGCCACUGUGCCUGGCCAACAGGAGAAGUUUCAGUGGUAGGGAACAUCUACUCAGAGGUACAUCUGCUACCUAAAAUAGAGGCUUAAAGAUUUUUACCACAAAGAGAACUUAGCAUAAAUCAAAUGGAGCUAUGGUAUGAAGUUCAUAAUAAAAUGUGAAAAGAACACUAUAUAACAGACCAAAUCAUUACUUAAUCAUAACAAAAGCUACAUAGGAAAUACAGGGCUAAGUUUGAGGUUCCAUCAUGAAUAAAGUUAAUGAAUUCUUUGCUAUGUAGCUGGGCCUCUGUCUCCCAGGUUUUCUGGGAAGCCUGGUCAUGUGUGAUCUUCACCUUGUCUUGAUGUUAUUCCAGUUACUUUAAAGAAAGUUUUCUCAUUACUGUGAUCUAGCCAACAUCUCUUCCAGCUUUCUAAGUUUUUGUUAUAAUGUGUCGUCUGUCAGUAGAACAAAUAUAGACAACAGCUUUAAAAAAUGUGAAGUUUUACAAUGAUUUUACAAAGGGCUAAAAUAUAGAUAAAAUCAUCCAUAGAGGAUGAUUAUGGUCUCCCAAGGUUUCUCCUUGGGUCUUACUGUAGCAAAUAGUAGAUUGUGAAUGAUAAUGUCUUUAGUGAAAAAUUAUCUGAGCUGUAUUUAUGUAUAGUAUUUAGUACAUAUGUGCAAAUAUAGUUACAUUAUACAUGUAUAUGUUCUAUUAGUUAUGUUAGAUCUUUUGUUGUUGUUCAUACAUGAAGACAUUAAGUGUCAUUGUUCCUGUAUUCCUAUAUUCCUCUCUUUCCACCUACCCCCACCCUAGGCAUCAUCAAGAGGGAUAUUGAAAACAAAACAAUAAAGUUAUGUUCCAAAAUUUUAUAUAGCCCCAAGGUAAUUAUGUGCAGUUUUUUAUCAGUACUUUUCCAGAAAAAGCAGAGGAAAAAAAAGAAAAGCAGGAAAGAGCAUCUAAAAUGAUCAAAGGAAGAAAUCAAUUGCAUGAAUGUGUAGGAUUUUCCAGACUCGACAGAUGAUAGCGAAGAGAGAAGAUGAUUAACAUGUAUAAAAUAAUGAAACGUUUAGGAAAGUUACAGAUAAUUUUUAUUAAACAGUCACUCAACGUUGGAGCCAUCUUUUGUUGCAAAAUUAUGUUUUAAUGAAUACUUUAUUUAUUAUUUGUUGAGACAGGGUAUUGCUCUGUCACCCAGGCUGGAGUGCAGUGGUACAAUCACAGCUCACUGCAGACUCGACUUCCCAGGCUCAAGCAAUUCUCAUACCUCACCCUCCCAAGUAGCUGGGACUACCAAUGUGCACCUCUGUGCAUGGCUGAUUUUUGUAUUUUUUGUAGAGAUGGGGCUUUGCCAUGUUGCCAAAACUGGUCUCAAACUCCUGGGCUUAAGUGAUCUGCCUGCCUCGGCCUCCAAAGGUGAUAGGAUUACAAGCAUGAGCUACCGUGGCCAGCCUGUUUUAAUAACUACUUUAUUAAUGCAUAUGUCAGUAGAGAAGUUAUGCUUAUCUUUGGUUUUUUUGUUUGUUUGUUUUGUUUUGUUUUUUGUUUUUUUUUUAGACUGAGUCUCAUUCUGUCGCCAGGCUGGAGUGCAGUGGCACGAUAUCGGCUCACUGCAACCUCCGCCUCCUGGGUUCAAGCGAUUCCCCUGCCUCAGCCUCCUGAGUAGCUGGGACUACAGGCACCCACCACCAUGCCUGGCUAAUUUUUGUAUUUUUAGUAGAGAUGGAGUUUCACCAUGUUGGCCAGGAUGGUCUCAAUCUCUUGACCUCGUGACCCACCCGCCUCGGCCUCUGAAAGUGCUGGGAAUACAGGCGUGAGCCACCGUGCCCAGCCGAUUUACCUUUAAGGCUUAAAAAAGGAUAAAAAGAAUACUUUUACAUAAGUUAGGUACUCAUUUUUAAGGAUAACAAAUUCUUAGUUGGUGUUUACUGCAGGCCAGGCACUCUUCUAGGUGGUGAAAAUGAGCAUAAAUCAGAGUCUACUCAUGUCUUUAAGAAACUCAGCAUCCAAUGGGGGCAGCAUAUAUGUUUAAAAAAAAAAAAGUACCUCAAUGUGAUCAUCACAGUGUUUGAGAUCCCAGGCUUAAUGGUCUCAUAUAAAGGAUGAGUGAUCAAGGCAUCGUUGAUGUUUCAGGGGAGCCAGGAGAUGAUGAGGCAUGGCUUAUUAAGGAGCUAUGAGACAGCUCGUGUACAUUAAGGAAAUUGAGGCAAUUUGUUAUGACUGGUACGUAGGGUCUGUGAUAGGCAAGAUACGACAUGUCCUUGGUCUCAUGAAGCUUAUGUUCUAUAGCUUACUUACUUUGUGUAGUCAUAGAAUAAGUAAACAAUGGGGAAAUCCAGAUAGUGAUAAAGAUGAUGGAUUUUUUAGAAGGCAAGGUAAUAUAAUAGAGUUUCGGGAUAGAGAGGGUGAUAGAGAAAGUAGGGGGUCGAGAGGGGUGGUGCACUGCUGCGUAGGGUGGCUAGGGAAUAGCUUGCUGACAGAAU